This 532-nucleotide ribosomal RNA is filed under the name Fusarium sp. Its description in RNAcentral is "partial large subunit ribosomal RNA". It matches the Rfam family "Eukaryotic large subunit ribosomal RNA", at positions 96 to 651 of the family's 3401-position model. The record is from RNAcentral. Lineage: Eukaryota; Fungi; Ascomycota; Sordariomycetes; Hypocreales; Nectriaceae.
AAGCGGCAACAGCUCAAAUUUGAAAUCUGGCUCUCGGGCCCGAGUUGUAAUUUGUAGAGGAUACUUUUGAUGCGGUGCCUUCCGAGUUCCCUGGAACGGGACGCCAUAGAGGGUGAGAGCCCCGUCUGGUUGGAUGCCAAAUCUCUGUAAAGUUCCUUCAACGAGUCGAGUAGUUUGGGAAUGCUGCUCUAAAUGGGAGGUAUAUGUCUUCUAAAGCUAAAUACCGGCCAGAGACCGAUAGCGCACAAGUAGAGUGAUCGAAAGAUGAAAAGCACUUUGAAAAGAGAGUUAAAAAGUACGUGAAAUUGUUGAAAGGGAAGCGUUUAUGACCAGACUUGGACUUGGUUAAUCAUCUGGGGUUCUCCCCAGUGCACUUUUCCAGUCCAGGCCAGCAUCAGUUUUCCCCGGGGGAUAAAGGCGGCGGGAAUGUGGCUCUCUUCGGGGAGUGUUAUAGCCCACCGUGUAAUACCCUGGGGGGGACUGAGGUUCGCGCAUCUGCAAGGAUGCUGGCGUAAUGGUCAUCAACGACCCG